GAUGAACGCUGGCGGCGUGCCUAAUACAUGCAAGUCGAGCGAACGGACGAGAAGCUUGCUUCUCUGAUGUUAGCGGCGGACGGGUGAGUAACACGUGGAUAACCUACCUAUAAGACUGGGAUAACUUCGGGAAACCGGAGCUAAUACCGGAUAAUAUUUUGAACCGCACGGUUCAAAAGUAAAAGACGGUCUUGCUGUCACUUAUAGAUGGAUCCGCGCUGCAUUAGCUAGUUGGUAAGGUAACGGCUUACCAAGGCAACGAUGCAUAGCCGACCUGAGAGGGUGAUCGGCCACACUGGAACUGAGACACGGUCCAGACUCCUACGGGAGGCAGCAGUAGGGAAUCUUCCGCAAUGGGCGAAAGCCUGACGGAGCAACGCCGCGUGAGUGAUGAAGGUCUUCGGAUCGUAAAACUCUGUUAUUAGGGAAGAACAUAUGUGUAAGUAACUGUGCACAUCUUGACGGUACCUAAUCAGAAAGCCACGGCUAACUACGUG
This 497-nucleotide ribosomal RNA is filed under the name uncultured bacterium. RNAcentral describes it as "partial 16S ribosomal RNA". It matches the Rfam family "Bacterial small subunit ribosomal RNA", at positions 28 to 507 of the family's 1533-position model. The record is from RNAcentral.